UACAAACAAAUUUGAUGGUCCCUACUACAGCUGAACAUGUGUGCCUCAAGAGAAAUACUUCCUUGAGUUUUCUUUUAAGUGUUCUUUCAGCCCUUCUUAUAUAUAUAAUUACGCUUCUUUUUUUUACUGACAUUACCUUUUGUAUUUGUAGAAAACACACCAUUGGGAUCCUUUGAUAACAUGGACUAUCCAGUAUU
Molecule: small RNA, 197 nt
Filed under: Arabidopsis thaliana (thale cress)
Lineage: Eukaryota; Viridiplantae; Streptophyta; Magnoliopsida; Brassicales; Brassicaceae
Description: ATSL158460
Source: RNAcentral